AUAGGAGUAUUUCAAUUGGCAGAAUGUAUGAUCUGGGAUCAUGCGGUUGCUGGUUCGAGUCCAGCCUCCUAUA
This 73-nucleotide transfer RNA is filed under the name Williamsia sp. RNAcentral's name for it is "tRNA-Pro". It matches the Rfam family "tRNA". From Rfam's summary of the family: Transfer RNA (tRNA) molecules are approximately 80 nucleotides in length. Their secondary structure includes four short double-helical elements and three loops (D, anti-codon, and T loops). Further hydrogen bonds mediate the characteristic L-shaped molecular structure. tRNAs have two regions of fundamental functional importance: the anti-codon, which is responsible for specific mRNA codon recognition, and the 3' end, to which the tRNAs corresponding amino acid is attached (by aminoacyl-tRNA synthetases). tRNAs cope with the degeneracy of the genetic code in two manners: having more than one tRNA (with a specific anti-codon) for a particular amino acid; and 'wobble' base-pairing, i.e. permitting non-standard base-pairing at the 3rd anti-codon position. The record is from RNAcentral. Lineage: Bacteria; Bacillati; Actinomycetota; Actinomycetes; Mycobacteriales; Nocardiaceae.